AGGGGCGUGGCUCAGCCUGGUCGAGAGCGCCUGUCUCGGAAGCAGGAGAUCGCUGGUUCAAAUCCAGUCGCCCCUA
Molecule: transfer RNA, 76 nt
Filed under: Myxococcales bacterium
Lineage: Bacteria; Pseudomonadati; Myxococcota; Myxococcia; Myxococcales
Also listed under: 1 other name
Description: tRNA-Pro
Rfam family: tRNA
About the family: Transfer RNA (tRNA) molecules are approximately 80 nucleotides in length. Their secondary structure includes four short double-helical elements and three loops (D, anti-codon, and T loops).
Source: RNAcentral